GGGCGCGUAGCUCAGUUGGAUAGAGCGACUGACUACGGAUCAGUAGGUCGUGGGUUCGAAUCCUGCCGCGCCCG
This 74-nucleotide transfer RNA is filed under the name Meiothermus granaticius NBRC 107808. It matches the Rfam family "tRNA". From Rfam's summary of the family: Transfer RNA (tRNA) molecules are approximately 80 nucleotides in length. Their secondary structure includes four short double-helical elements and three loops (D, anti-codon, and T loops). Further hydrogen bonds mediate the characteristic L-shaped molecular structure. tRNAs have two regions of fundamental functional importance: the anti-codon, which is responsible for specific mRNA codon recognition, and the 3' end, to which the tRNAs corresponding amino acid is attached (by aminoacyl-tRNA synthetases). tRNAs cope with the degeneracy of the genetic code in two manners: having more than one tRNA (with a specific anti-codon) for a particular amino acid; and 'wobble' base-pairing, i.e. permitting non-standard base-pairing at the 3rd anti-codon position. The record is from Rfam by way of RNAcentral. RNAcentral also lists the same sequence under 2 other names. Lineage: Bacteria; Thermotogati; Deinococcota; Deinococci; Thermales; Thermaceae.